RNAcentral lists this ribosomal RNA (908 nucleotides) under Aureobasidium pullulans. Its description in RNAcentral is "partial large subunit ribosomal RNA". It matches the Rfam family "Eukaryotic large subunit ribosomal RNA", at positions 38 to 964 of the family's 3401-position model. Lineage: Eukaryota; Fungi; Ascomycota; Dothideomycetes; Dothideales; Saccotheciaceae. The record is from RNAcentral.
GCAUAUCAAUAAGCGGAGGAAAAGAAACCAACAGGGAUUGCCCUAGUAACGGCGAGUGAAGCGGCAACAGCUCAAAUUUGAAAGCUAGCCUUCGGGUUCGCAUUGUAAUUUGUAGAGGAUGAUUUGGGGAAGCCGCCUGUCUAAGUUCCUUGGAACAGGACGUCAUAGAGGGUGAGAAUCCCGUAUGUGACAGGAAAUGGCACCCUAUGUAAAUCUCCUUCGACGAGUCGAGUUGUUUGGGAAUGCAGCUCUAAAUGGGAGGUAAAUUUCUUCUAAAGCUAAAUAUUGGCGAGAGACCGAUAGCGCACAAGUAGAGUGAUCGAAAGAUGAAAAGCACUUUGGAAAGAGAGUUAAAAAGCACGUGAAAUUGUUGAAAGGGAAGCGCUUGCAAUCAGACUUGUUUAAACUGUUCGGCCGGUCUUCUGACCGGUUUACUCAGUUUGGACAGGCCAGCAUCAGUUUCGGCGGCCGGAUAAAGGCUCUGGGAAUGUGGCCUCCACUUCGGUGGAGGUGUUAUAGCCCAGGGUGUAAUACGGCCAGCCGGGACUGAGGUCCGCGCUUCGGCUAGGAUGCUGGCGUAAUGGUUGUAAGCGACCCGUCUUGAAACACGGACCAAGGAGUCUAACAUCUAUGCGAGUGUUCGGGUGUCAAACCCCUGCGCGUAAUGAAAGUGAACGGAGGUGGGAACCCGCAAGGGUGCACCAUCGACCGAUCCUGAUGUCUUCGGAUGGAUUUGAGUAAGAGCAUAGCUGUUGGGACCCGAAAGAUGGUGAACUAUGCCUGAAUAGGGUGAAGCCAGAGGAAACUCUGGUGGAGGCUCGCAGCGGUUCUGACGUGCAAAUCGAUCGUCAAAUUUGGGUAUAGGGGCGAAAGACUAAUCGAACCAUCUAGUAGCUGGUUCCUGCCGA